RNAcentral lists this non-coding RNA (28 nucleotides) under Mus musculus (house mouse). Lineage: Eukaryota; Metazoa; Chordata; Mammalia; Rodentia; Muridae. The record is from RNAcentral.
CUCUGUGUCCCUCAUUGAGACUAGCUGA